GAUGAAGAACGUAGCGAAAUGCGAUAAGUAAUGUGAAUUGCAGAAUUCAGUGAAUCAUCGAAUCUUUGAACGCACAUUGCGCCCCUUGGUAUUCCGAGGGGCAUGCCUGUUCGAGCGUCAUUAUAACCCCUCAAGCUCAGCUUGGUGUUGGGGCCUGCUGCACUGGCAGCCCUUAAAAUCAGUGGCGGCGCCAUCUGGCUCUAAGCGUAGUAAUUCUUCUCGCUAUGGAGUCCUGGUGGAUGCUUGCUAUCAACCCCCAAUUUUUCUAUGGUUGACCUCGUAUCAGGUAGGGAUACCCGCUGAACUUAAGCAUAUCAAUAGGCGGAGGA
Molecule: unclassified non-coding RNA, 329 nt
Filed under: soil metagenome
Description: partial contains 5.8S ribosomal RNA, internal transcribed spacer 2, and large subunit ribosomal RNA
Rfam family: 5.8S ribosomal RNA (bases 1-120)
Source: RNAcentral